Molecule: ribosomal RNA, 497 nt
Filed under: uncultured bacterium
Lineage: Bacteria
Description: partial 16S ribosomal RNA
Rfam family: Bacterial small subunit ribosomal RNA
Source: RNAcentral
GAUGAACGCUGGCGGCGUGCCUAAUACAUGCAAGUCGAGCGAACAGAUAAGGAGCUUGCUCCUUUGACGUUAGCGGCGGACGGGUGAGUAACACGUGGGUAACCUAUCUAUAAGACUGGAAUAACUCCGGGAAACCGGGGCUAAUGCCGGAUAACAUGUUGAACCGCAUGGUUCUACAGUGAAAGGCGGCUUUGCUGUCACUUAUAGAUGGACCCGCGCCGUAUUAGCUAGUUGGUGAGGUAACGGCUCACCAAGGCAACGAUACGUAGCCGACCUGAGAGGGUGAUCGGCCCCACUGGAACUGAGACACGGUCCAGACUCCUACGGGAGGAAGCAGUAGGGAAUCUUCCGCAAUGGGCGAAAGCCUGCCGGAGCAACGCCGCGUGAGUGAUGAAGGUCUUCGGAUCGUAAACCUCUGUUAUUAGGGAAGAACAAAUGCGUAAGUAACUGUGCGCGUCUUGACGGUACCUAAUCAGAAAGCCACGGCUAACUACGUG